Molecule: ribosomal RNA, 584 nt
Filed under: uncultured bacterium
Lineage: Bacteria
Description: bacterial SSU rRNA
Rfam family: Bacterial small subunit ribosomal RNA
Source: RNAcentral
ACGGGAGGCAGCAGUGGGGAAUUUUGGACAAUGGGCGCAAGCCUGAUCCAGCCAUGCCGCGUGUCUGAAGAAGGCCUUCGGGUUGUAAAGGACUUUUGUCAGGGAAGAAAAGGGCGGGGUUAAUACCCCUGUCUGAUGACGGUACCUGAAGAAUAAGCACCGGCUAACUACGUGCCAGCAGCCGCGGUAAUACGUAGGGUGCGAGCGUUAAUCGGAAUUACUGGGCGUAAAGCGGGCGCAGACGGUUACUUAAGCAGGAUGUGAAAUCCCCGGGCUCAACCUGGGAACUGCGUUCUGAACUGGGUGACUAGAGUGUGUCAGAGGGAGGUAGAAUUCCACGUGUAGCAGUGAAAUGCGUAGAGAUGUGGAGGAAUACCGAUGGCGAAGGCAGCCUCCUGGGAUAACACUGACGUUCAUGCUCGAAAGCGUGGGUAGCAAACAGGAUUAGAUACCCUGGUAGUCCACGCCCUAAACGAUGUCAAUUAGCUGUUGGGCAACUUGAUUGCUUAGUAGCGUAGCUAACGCGUGAAAUUGACCGCCUGGGGAGUACGGUCGCAAGAUUAAAACUCAAAGGAAUUGACGGA